CCUACGGGUGGCAGCAGUGGGGAAUAUUGGGCAAUGGAGGCAACUCUUACCCAGCAAUGCCGCGUGAAUGAAGAAGGUCUUCGGAUUGUAAAGUUCUUUAAUUGGGGACGAAAAACAUGACGGUACCCAAGGAAUAAGCCCCGGCUAACUACGUGCCAGCAGCCGCGGUAAUACGUAGGGGGCAAGCGUUGUUCGGAAUGACUGGGCGUAAAGGGUGUGUAGGCGGGCCUUUAAGCCGGCGGUGAAAUCGCGGGGCUCAACCCCGCCGAGCCGUCGGAACUGGGGGCCUUGAGUGCGGCGGAGGCAUGCGGAAUGCGCGGUGUAGCGGUGAAAUGCAUAGAUAUCGCGCAGAACCCCGAUUGCGAAGGCAGCGUGCCGUGCCGCCACUGACGCUGAGGCACGAAAGCGCGGGGAUCGAACAGGAUUAGAUACCCCGGUAGUC
RNAcentral lists this ribosomal RNA (442 nucleotides) under uncultured bacterium. RNAcentral describes it as "partial 16S ribosomal RNA". It matches the Rfam family "Bacterial small subunit ribosomal RNA", at positions 338 to 795 of the family's 1533-position model. The record is from RNAcentral.